UACGGAAGGCAGCAGUGGGGAAUAUUGCACAAUGGGCGCAAGCCUGAUGCAGCCAUGCCGCGUGUAUGAAGAAGGCCUUCGGGUUGUAAAGUACUUUCAGUCGUGAGGAAGGUGUUAAGGUUAAUAACCUUAGCAAUUGACGUUAGCGACAGAAGAAGCACCGGCUAACUCCGUGCCAGCAGCCGCGGUAAUACGGAGGGUGCGAGCGUUAAUCGGAAUUACUGGGCGUAAGGGGCACGCAGGCGGUUAAUUAAGUUGGAUGUGAAAUCCCCGGGCUUAACCUGGGAAUGGCAUUCAAGACUGGUUAGCUAGAGUCUUGUAGAGGGGGUAGAAUUCCAUGUGUAGCGGUGAAAUGCGUAGAGAUGUGGAGGAAUACCGGUGGCGAAGGCGGCCCCUGGGACAAAGACUGACGCUCAUGUGCGAAAGCGUGGGGAGCAAAC
Molecule: ribosomal RNA, 440 nt
Filed under: uncultured bacterium
Lineage: Bacteria
Description: bacterial SSU rRNA
Rfam family: Bacterial small subunit ribosomal RNA
Source: RNAcentral